This 273-nucleotide unclassified non-coding RNA is filed under the name Hevea brasiliensis (rubber tree). Lineage: Eukaryota; Viridiplantae; Streptophyta; Magnoliopsida; Malpighiales; Euphorbiaceae. The record is from RNAcentral.
AAAAAACUUAAAUCUGUCGACAUCACCAAGGGGGCGUUUUCCUAACUUACAAAUUGAAAGUCACAAUCAGAAGUUAAAAAAAGGAACGGAAUUUGCUAAAAGAACUACGUGCCUUUUUUUAUCAAAAGAAAAAUAGAGUACGUACUUUCAAAAUUAAACCCUAAUUAAAGUAUUAAAUCUUUUUCGUCCAGACCAACCAAGAAACCAGAUCCACUAUGACCUAGAAAAAAAUCCGAAAAAUCGAGAAGUUAAUAAUAAAAUGCGAUGAGUAAU